GUCCUCAAGGAUGGGAGAAUAAAAGUUUCGAGAAUUCUUUAGAGAUGUAAUUACAUUCUCCAGAGAAAGUGGGAGAGAUUGAUGUGUCUUUUGCUCAAC
This is a long non-coding RNA of Cucurbita moschata (crookneck pumpkin), 99 nucleotides long. RefSeq lists it as uncharacterized. The record is from RefSeq and is a predicted model, not a curated record. Lineage: Eukaryota; Viridiplantae; Streptophyta; Magnoliopsida; Cucurbitales; Cucurbitaceae. The transcript is spliced from 4 exons.